AGAAGAUCCCGUAAUAGGCCAGGGAGCAGUGACUGCGCAGCAGCUGCCGCUCGCCCCCGGGCUCCUGGAAGGACAGGCGCUGGAGACCCGCGCAGCCCCGGCUCCGUCGGAUCUUCUCCUUCAUCUUCUUUAUGGUCGCAAUUGCCCAUGAGGAUCAACUGAGACAAUUCCUGGAUAAGCACUAUACAAAUUGUAAAAUAUAAUAUGUGGAUUAAAUAGAUUAUGAUGAUCUUU
This is a long non-coding RNA of Ictidomys tridecemlineatus (thirteen-lined ground squirrel), 234 nucleotides long. RefSeq lists it as uncharacterized. The record is from RefSeq and is a predicted model, not a curated record. Lineage: Eukaryota; Metazoa; Chordata; Mammalia; Rodentia; Sciuridae.